GAUGAACGUUAGCGGGAGGCCUAACACAUGCAAGCCGAGCGGUAGAGUCUCUUCGGAGACUUGAGAGCGGCGCACGGGUGCGGAACACGUGUGCAACCUGCCUUUAUCUGGGGGAUAGCCUUUCGAAAGGAAGAUUAAUACCCCAUAAUAUACUGGAUGGCAUCAUCUGGUAUUGAAAACUCCGGUGGAUAGAGAUGGUCACGCGCAAGAUUAGAUAGUUGGUGAGGUAACGGCUCACCAAGUCAGCGAUCUUUAGGGGGCCUGAGAGGGUGAUCCCCCACACUGGUACUGAGACACGGACCAGACUACUACGGGAGGCAGCAGUGAGGAAUAGUGGACAAUGGGUGAGAGCCUGAUCCAGCCAUCCCGCGUGAAGGAAGACGGCCCUAUGGGUUGUAAACUUCUUUUGUAUAGGGAUAAACCUAGAUAUGUGUAUCUAGCUGAAGGUACUAUACGAAUAAGCACCGGCUAACUCCGUG
This 479-nucleotide ribosomal RNA is filed under the name uncultured bacterium. RNAcentral describes it as "partial 16S ribosomal RNA". It matches the Rfam family "Bacterial small subunit ribosomal RNA", at positions 28 to 507 of the family's 1533-position model. The record is from RNAcentral.